GUGGGGAAUCUUCCGCAAUGGACGAAAGUCUGACGGAGCGACGCCGCGUGAGUGAAGAAGGCCUUCGGGUCGUAAAGCUCUGUCAUCAGGGACGAACGGCCGGUGGAGUGGAAAGCCACCGGAUUGACGGUAGCUGAGAAGGAAGCCACGGCUAACUACGUGCCAGCAGCCGCGGUAAUACGUAGGUGGCAAGCGUUGUCCGGAAUUAUUGGGCGUAAAGCGCGCGCAGGUGGGAUCUUAAGUCCAUUUUUAAAGUUCGGAGCUCAACUCCGUGGUGGGAGGGAAACUGGGAUUCUUGAGUACCGGAGAGGAAAGCGGAAUUCCCCGUGUAGCGGUGAAAUGCGUAGAUAUGGGGAGGAACACCAGUGGCGAAGGCGGCUUUCUGGACGGUGUCUGACACUGAGGCGCGAAAGCCAGGGGAGCGAACGGGAUUAGAAACCCCUGUAGUCC
Molecule: ribosomal RNA, 450 nt
Filed under: uncultured bacterium
Lineage: Bacteria
Description: partial 16S ribosomal RNA
Rfam family: Bacterial small subunit ribosomal RNA
Source: RNAcentral